UCAGAAAAAAUAUGUUUUCUUGCUCUAGGAGAGUCGCCAGCAAAGAAAAAAAAGUGUUUGGAGACAACAAGGUAAACUAGCCUAUAUUUUCCCACACCAGUGACAUUUGGUCACAUUGUUGUUCAUCUGUAACUGAAUUGUUGUGAAUUACUGAUGAGAAAACUAGGCGUCAAUGUGUCACGAUGGAAAUGUGACACUGUGGCUCAUCCACUCCAAGAGGACACCACAUCUUGCGGAGUGUUUGCUUUUAAAGUAGGCCUAGGCUAUGUGACAUGGCAAAAAUUACAUAUCAAUAUGCUAUAUCACGUAUUGGGGGACCUGUGAAUUAUGGGCUCAAUCUCACACUUUCAGUUUGCUGAACACCUCCUGGAAGGGUCAAGCUCAUUACAAUUCCCGACAUCAAACAUAGAUGACCUGAGGAGGGAAAUAGCCACCACCAUCAUGACUGGAUCUGAUGACUUGAGUGACUUGUGUCAUUACUGUGGGGAGGAAGACACCUUUGAUAAAACGGAAAACGUUACUUGGAUUGCGUGUGAUGCCUGUCUGAGGUAGUUUCACACAGGGCGUGUCGGAAAUCCAGCCAUGGAGAGCAAUUAUGCGUGUUAUGCAUGCCUUCAUGCCUGCGUCCAAUAAAUAGGCUACUAGGGCUGGGCAAGUUGGCGCCCAAUUAAGCGUUAACGCAAUCUUGUUUGUUUUUUUACAAAUGGACGCAUUAAAGCACGUUAUUAUUUUUUAAUUCUUUUAGGCCUACUUUGAUUUUGAAAAGGUUUUGCCCACAGAAUGUCAACAUUCU
Long non-coding RNA from Gadus macrocephalus (Pacific cod), 793 nucleotides. RefSeq lists it as uncharacterized. NCBI's taxonomy places the organism in Eukaryota, Metazoa, Chordata, Actinopteri, Gadiformes, Gadidae. The record is from RefSeq and is a predicted model, not a curated record. The transcript is spliced from 3 exons.